Molecule: ribosomal RNA, 182 nt
Filed under: uncultured bacterium
Lineage: Bacteria
Description: partial 16S ribosomal RNA
Rfam family: Bacterial small subunit ribosomal RNA
Source: RNAcentral
CAUGAAGCUGGAAUCGCUAGUAAUCGCGGAUCAGAAUGCCGCGGUGAAUACGUUCCCGGGUCUCGUACACACCGCCCGUCACACCAUGGGAGUCGGAAAUGCCCGAAGUCGGUGACCGAACCGAAAGGAAGGAGCCGCCGAAGGCAGGUCUGGUGACUGGGGUGAAGUCGUAACAAGGUAAC